CCCGGCGACCGGCGCACGGGUGAGUAACACGUAUGCAACCUGGCCGCCACAGGGGAUAACCCGCGGAAACGCGGCCUAAUACCCCGUGACGCCACCGGAGGGCAUCCUCCGGUGGCCAAAGGAGCGAUCCGGUGGCGGAUGGGCAUGCGGCGCAUUAGCUAGACGGCGGGGUGACGGCCCACCGUGGCGACGAUGCGUAGGGGUUCUGAGAGGAAGGCCCCCCACACUGGGACUGAGACACGGCCCAGACUCCUACGGGAGGCAGCAG
This 268-nucleotide ribosomal RNA is filed under the name uncultured bacterium. RNAcentral describes it as "partial 16S ribosomal RNA". It matches the Rfam family "Bacterial small subunit ribosomal RNA", at positions 87 to 354 of the family's 1533-position model. The record is from RNAcentral.